RNAcentral lists this long non-coding RNA (237 nucleotides) under Lathyrus oleraceus (garden pea). RNAcentral's name for it is "Pisum sativum (pea) long non-coding RNA (PSAT_LNC023155)". Lineage: Eukaryota; Viridiplantae; Streptophyta; Magnoliopsida; Fabales; Fabaceae. The record is from RNAcentral.
GAAGUUUGAAAAUGCAAUGGCAUAAGGCCAAAGUUUCUAGCUUUUUGCAAAAGUGGUCAAAGUUUAGAAAAAAAUAAGUUCAAUCAAAGAAGGUUUUGAAAAAGGAGGGAGAUAUUUUGAAAUUAAAGAAAUGGGGAGAAGAUGAAGAGACUAAUCCUAUGUACAAAAUUAAAAGUUAAGAGUUGAAAAGAUCUGACCAAAUGGGUAGUAAUCCAAUAGACAAGAAUGUCAAUAGAA